UUAAGUCCAAAACUUGGGUAACAUCAUAAUAUAGUGGGAGGAGUCUGUUGGUGGGUUUUGAGUGAAAUCCAAUCUCUAGAACUGUGCAUUACACCAACCACUCCAUUUCAGAACGAACUUCGUACGAACCUGAAUUGUCCGAUUUCAUAGACCAAUCGAUAAGGGAUUCAGUCCAAAACCUGGGGAACAUCAUAAUAUUAUGGGAGUAGUCAUUUGGUGGUUUUGAGUGAAAUCCAAUCUCAAGAACUAUACAAUACACCAACCACUCG
RNAcentral lists this long non-coding RNA (269 nucleotides) under Prunus persica (peach). Its description in RNAcentral is "long non-coding RNA (PPER_LNC004645)". The record is from RNAcentral. Lineage: Eukaryota; Viridiplantae; Streptophyta; Magnoliopsida; Rosales; Rosaceae.